This 66-nucleotide transfer RNA is filed under the name Notiomys edwardsii (Edwards's long-clawed mouse). Its description in RNAcentral is "tRNA-Arg". The record is from RNAcentral. Lineage: Eukaryota; Metazoa; Chordata; Mammalia; Rodentia; Cricetidae.
GGUAAUUAGUUUAUUAAAAACCCAUGAUUUCGACUCAUUAAAACAUGGUACCUACCAUGAUUACCA